RNAcentral lists this ribosomal RNA (485 nucleotides) under uncultured Ascomycota. RNAcentral's name for it is "eukaryotic LSU rRNA". The stretch from base 128 to 281 matches the Rfam family "5.8S ribosomal RNA". The record is from RNAcentral. Lineage: Eukaryota; Fungi; Ascomycota.
UGGACUGCGGAGGAUCAUUAACAAAACACCUCUGCGUAUCUUUACAUGUUGCUUCCCCGGGCUAGCUUCCGGGACGGGGGGGAGGGAGCAACUGUGAUCGGUCUGAAGAAAAACCUGUUUGCAUUAAAACUUUCAACAACGGAUCUCUUGGUUCUCCCAUCGAUGAAGAACGCAGCGAAAUGCGAUAAGUAGUGUGAAUUGCAGAAUUCAGUGAAUCAUCGAAUCUUUGAACGCACAUUGCGCCCUCUGGCAUUCCGGGGGGCAUGCCUGUUCGAGCGUCAUGCGCUUCUUCGAAGCCCCAGCUUGGUCUUGGAUCAGAACCCUCUGCCUGCAAUCAGUGGGCGGAUAUUCCGGCAGCGUGAUAAACACUCGUUCGCGAUUGCACGCCGGGAAGGUCCCGUUUGACCUCGGAUCAGGUAGGGAUACCCGAACGUUUUGAUCUCAAAUCAGGCGGGACUAUCCGCUGAACUUAAACAUAUCAAUAA